Molecule: ribosomal RNA, 995 nt
Filed under: Duplicibothrium sp. 1 KJ-2010
Lineage: Eukaryota; Metazoa; Platyhelminthes; Cestoda; Tetraphyllidea; Serendipidae
Description: partial 28S ribosomal RNA
Rfam family: Eukaryotic large subunit ribosomal RNA
Source: RNAcentral
AGUCGGGUUGUUUGAGAAUGCAGCCCAAAGUGGGUGGUAAACUCCAUCCAAGGCUAAAUACAAGCACGAGUCCGAUAGCAAACAAGUACCGUGAGGGAAAGUUGAAAAGUACUUUGAAGAGAGAGUAAACAGUACGUGAAACCGCAUGCAGGUAAACGGGUGGCGUCAAGCUGCAAUCCUGGAGAAUUCAGCCGGCUAGUGUGUCGUGAAUGCGCCUGUGCAUCAUCAGUCGGUGUAAGAUGUGAUAGUCUACCGGGCAACGGUAGGCCGGGCCGCAAGGUUCGGUUAUGUGUACCGGGUGGAAGCCGGAGCAUGCUAUUCAUCUGUUGGACUGGCUAGCCGGUGCACUUUCUCUAUGGUGAACACCACGAUCGGUGGAAUUGCCAGUCUGCUGUAGUCAAGUCGUAUUCGAUGGGUUCUUGUAAUUCAUUGGGUGCGAUCACAGGCAAUGUCAGUACACGGCGUAGAGGUGUCUCGGCAUCUCUGCGUGUUAUCGGUUACUGCUUGUCAACGGGCCUGCCUAGUGGUUGUUGUAAUCGCCGCUGGGUGGCUUGGUGGACUACAGUGGUAAGAAUAACUGUGCAAGGCACCGGGGAUGUCGGCCUCAAUUGCACUCUGCAUACACAUUACAAGUGGUGUGGGGUGCCAUCGCUGCCUGCUUACUGUUGAGUCUGAUUGUCGUGUUGCCUGCACAAAGUAGGUCCGGCAGUGGCUUGAUGUAAGGUGGGUAGUUGGUGGUGCUUCGCGUGCAGGGUGUUGUGGGCCAAGUAAUCAGUGGUGCAGUGGUAGACGAGCUACCCGACCCGUCUUGAAACACGGACCAAGGAGUUCAACAUGUAUGCGAGUCAAUGGGUCCUACGAAACCCAAAGGCGCAGUGAAAGUAAAGCUUCGACUUGUUCUCGGAGUGAGGUGAGAUCCUGCCGUACUCGCAUCAGCCUAUCAGGCUAAGAGCGGUGGGCGCAUCACCGGCCCGUCCCAUGAUGUGGCCGCUGGC